CUCAAAACACAAAACAAAGAGGGGA
RNAcentral lists this transfer RNA (25 nucleotides) under Populus ilicifolia. RNAcentral describes it as "partial tRNA-Leu". Lineage: Eukaryota; Viridiplantae; Streptophyta; Magnoliopsida; Malpighiales; Salicaceae. The record is from RNAcentral.